GAUGAACGCUGGAGGCGUGCCUAAUACAUGCAAGUCGAGCGAACAGACGAGGAGCUUGCUCCUCUGACGUUAGCGGCGGACGGGUGAGUAACACGUGGAUAACCUACCUAUAAGACUGGGAUAACUUCGGGAAACCGGAGCUAAUACCGGAUAAUAUAUUGAACCGCAUGGUUCAAUAGUGAAAGACGGUUUUGCUGUCACUUAUAGAUGGAUCCGCGCCGCAUUAGCUAGUUGGUAAGGUAACGGCUUACCAAGGCGACGAUGCGUAGCCGACCUGAGAGGGUGAUCGGCCACACUGGAACUGAGACACGGUCCAGACUCCUACGGGAGGCAGCAGUAGGGAAUCUUCCGCAAUGGGCGAAAGCCUGACGGAGCAACGCCGCGUGAGUGAUGAAGGUCUUCGGAUCGUAAAACUCUGUUAUUAGGGAAGAACAAAUGUGUAAGUAACUAUGCACGUCUUGACGGUACCUAAUCAGAAAGCCACGGCUAACUACGUG
Molecule: ribosomal RNA, 497 nt
Filed under: uncultured bacterium
Lineage: Bacteria
Description: partial 16S ribosomal RNA
Rfam family: Bacterial small subunit ribosomal RNA
Source: RNAcentral